UGGGCCAAAACAGAAAGGCCCGGAGACAAAUCCAACUAGGUCAGCUUAAAACGGAAAAAAGAAAAAGAAGCGUUAUUUUUUCAACAGCCUUUCUCUCUCUUCAAUUUCCCAGCCGCUCACAACACUAUGUAAACCCUAAAGACUUUCUUCCUGGAGAAGACAGCCGAAGGCGGCGGCUCACGGCGGAGCCUCCGCUCUUCUCCGUCGCUUCACUCUCUCUCUCUCUCCUAACUCUAUUUCACGAACCACUUCCCUUUUUCUCUUUCUCAUAAUUUUGAGACACACAACAUAAAAACAUGCGAAAACAAACUCAACCAAAAAUGAUUCUCAAACACGCACACAGCAGAAUCUCAUAAAAUUUCAGAGGAAAUUAGCUAUCAACUACCACAGAUUUAGUUCAACAC
Molecule: long non-coding RNA, 404 nt
Filed under: Lathyrus oleraceus (garden pea)
Lineage: Eukaryota; Viridiplantae; Streptophyta; Magnoliopsida; Fabales; Fabaceae
Description: Pisum sativum (pea) long non-coding RNA (PSAT_LNC028545)
Source: RNAcentral